UCUCAGCACACCCGUGAGACCCUUUACCUUAACCAGGCCAAGGAGCUGGCAUCAGGCUCAACCUUCUGCCCAUAACGCCUAGUCUCACCACACCCCCAAGGGUAUUCAGCAGUGAUAAAUCUUGCGUAUAAGCGAUAGCUUGACUCAGUUAGAGAAAAGAGGGCCGGCUAACCCGGUGCCAGCCGCCGCGGCUACACCGUGGGGCCCGAGCUGAUGGUCAUCGGCGUUAAGCGUGAUUAAAGUUCCCACCAAUUAGGGUUAAAUUAACACUUAGUAGUGAUAAGCUUGUUGUUAAGAGAACCGUAAACGAAAGUUACCCUAAUUACACUUGAAUACACGACAGCUAGGAGACAAACUGGGAUUAGAUACCCCACUAUGCCUAGCCGUAAACAAUUAACUCACACCAACCAACGCCAGGGAAUUACGAGCUAUGCUUAAAACCCAAAGGACUUGACGGUGUCCCACCCACCUAGAGGAGCCUUUUCUAUAAUCGAUGAUCCCCGAUACACCUAACCAUUCCUCGCCCAUCAGUCUGUAUACCUCCGUCGAAAGCCUACCAUGUGAACGCUUACAGUAGGCCCAAUGAUUCAACACGUCAGGUCAAGGUGCAGCUUACGGAAUGGAAAGCAAUGGGCUACAAUUUCUAGUUUAGAACAAACGAAAGACUCUGUGAAACCCUAGUCAUGAAGGCGGAUUUAGUAGUAAAAGGAAAAUAGAGUGUUCCUUUUAACCUGGCUCUGGGACGCGUA
Molecule: ribosomal RNA, 749 nt
Filed under: Pelophylax nigromaculatus (dark-spotted frog)
Lineage: Eukaryota; Metazoa; Chordata; Amphibia; Anura; Ranidae
Description: partial 12S ribosomal RNA
Rfam family: Bacterial small subunit ribosomal RNA
Source: RNAcentral